UCAUGUCAGCAGAAGUCUCUAAAAUUAGAACCACACAGAGGAGAUAAGCAUGGCCCCAGCACAAGGUGACACACUAAUCUGUAAAACAUUCUGUU
Molecule: small nuclear RNA, 95 nt
Organism: Mesocricetus auratus (golden hamster)
Lineage: Eukaryota; Metazoa; Chordata; Mammalia; Rodentia; Cricetidae
Source: Ensembl